AAAGAAAUAUAUAAAAAAAAGCUUCUAACUUUUAAACAAGCAUUAAGAUGUUUAU
Molecule: transfer RNA, 55 nt
Filed under: Cautires sp. UPOL A00083
Lineage: Eukaryota; Metazoa; Arthropoda; Insecta; Coleoptera; Lycidae
Also listed under: 3 other names
Description: partial tRNA-Ser
Source: RNAcentral